RNAcentral lists this transfer RNA (75 nucleotides) under Kribbella flavida DSM 17836. Its description in RNAcentral is "tRNA-Val". It matches the Rfam family "tRNA". From Rfam's summary of the family: Transfer RNA (tRNA) molecules are approximately 80 nucleotides in length. Lineage: Bacteria; Bacillati; Actinomycetota; Actinomycetes; Propionibacteriales; Kribbellaceae. RNAcentral also lists the same sequence under 1 other name. The record is from RNAcentral.
GGGUGCUUAGCUCAGCGGUAGAGCGCUUCCCUUACAAGGAAGAUGUCGGGGGUUCGAUCCCCUCAGCACCCACCC